GCAAUAGGUAUGCUUAGGGAAGAGCUUGCGUCACAUUAGUUAGUUGGUGGGGUAAUGGCCUACCAAGACGAUGAUGUGUAGCCGGGCUGAGAGGUCGAACGGCCACAUUGGGACUGAGACACGGCCCAAACUCCUACGGGAGGCAGCAGUAAGGAAUUUUCGGCAAUGGAGGAAACUCUGACCGAGCAAUGCCGCGUGAACGAUGAAGUAUUUCGGUACGUAAAGUUCUUUUAUUAGGGAAGAAAAGAUGGUGGAAAAACCAUUAUGACGGUACCUAAUGAAUAAGCCCCGGCUAACUAUGUGCCAGCAGCCGCGGUAAUACAUAGGGGGCAAGCGUUAUCCGGAAUUAUUGGGCGUAAAGGGUGCGUAGGCGGUUAAAUAAGUUUAUGGUCUAAGUGCAACGCUCAACGUUGUGAUGCUAUAAAAACUGUUUAGCUAGAGUUGGAUAGAGGCAAGUGGAAUUCCGUGUGUAGUGGUAAAAUGCGUAAAUAUACGGAGGAACACCAGAAGCGAAGGCGGCUUGCUGGGUCUUAACUGACGCUGAGGCACGAAAGCGUGGGGAGCAAACAGGAUUAGAUACCCUGGUAGUCCACGCCCUAAACGAUGAGUACUAAACGUUGGAUAAAACCAGUGUUGAAGUUAACACAUUAAGUACUCCGCCUGAGUAGUACGUACGCAAGUAUGAAACUUAAAGGAAUUGACCGGGACUCCGCACAAGCGGUGGAUCAUGUUGUUUAAUUUCGAAGGUACCCGAAAAACCUCACCAGGUCUUGACAUGCUUUUGCAAAGCUGUAGAAAUACAGUGAGGUUAUCAGAACGCACAGGUGGUGCAUGGUUGUCCGUCAG
RNAcentral lists this ribosomal RNA (846 nucleotides) under Candidatus Phytoplasma solani. RNAcentral's name for it is "bacterial SSU rRNA". It matches the Rfam family "Bacterial small subunit ribosomal RNA", at positions 202 to 1058 of the family's 1533-position model. The record is from RNAcentral. Lineage: Bacteria; Bacillati; Mycoplasmatota; Mollicutes; Acholeplasmatales; Acholeplasmataceae.